AGGGACUGACCUUCAAACAGCAUCUGAAGAGAAAGCAAGAAAAGCACACAUACUGGGCCAAUAGCGGAUAUUUGGAGAAGCCUCUGAGAAGAACCUUUAUCUUUCUCAGCUCAUCAUCCUUGACACACUGGAGAAGUGCCUGGCAGGGAUAAUCCCUGUUUAUCACAGGAGUGGUUUAAGCAGUCCUCAUCAGGAUGCAGCACAGGAAUGCAGAAAUGGUACGGUUCUAAACAACGGAAGGCUUUCAUUAUAGGCCCAGGAAGUGUGCCGCCAGCAGCGUGCCUGUGCGCGCGCUAUACUUAACCCCCGGURGCCAGCAGCGUCAGCGGUGGAACAGCGGUGAMAGUUCCACCGUAGAGGCUAAAGAUGAAGGUAUGCUUCCAGUUGUAGAGCUGCCAAGAGGAGCACUCAGAACACAAACACAUACACAUACUCAGCCCACAGGAAGCAGCUGAAGACUCUGCCCAGAGACACGGAGGAAUGRGAUGCUCAAAACAUGCAUGGUGUGAACUGCAGCUCCGGGUUUCACCGGGUACUGUGUUCCAUGGACUGAACGCUGAUAGAUCGUGGCCUGUUGCACGGCUAGACAAUGAACAGAACCUGCUGCAUUUUCCUUUUGGAUUUGUGAAAAAAACAAACUGUCUAACAGUUUUAAAAUAAAGUGUUAGCGGCAAGAGUCAAAGUUUAGAUGUAAUUCGAUCCACCCCAGAAUAUUAGGAUGGAUUUACAGCUUAAACAGGAUUGUGAUAUAAUAAUAACAAUAACAAUUUUAUUUAUAAAGCGCCGUCAUGCAGCAUUGGUAGAGGUUAUAAACGCACAAAAAGCAAGAACUAAUUUAUAGAAUACUAGAAGCUUAUUGAUAAGUUUAUAUUAAAGAUGCACUGAUCUGACAGUAAUAUCUGUAUCGGUGGUGAUAUUGAAAAAAAUUUGUAUCAGCAACAAUGACAUAAGGGCAGCUCUUUCUAGUCUAAUUCUACACUUUGUGCUCUGAGCAACGCCAUGCUUUAUUAUUUAUCUGGCAUUUUAUU
Molecule: long non-coding RNA, 1028 nt
Organism: Poecilia reticulata (guppy)
Lineage: Eukaryota; Metazoa; Chordata; Actinopteri; Cyprinodontiformes; Poeciliidae
Source: RefSeq, a predicted model, not a curated record